GUGGGGAAUCUUAGACAAUGGGGGAAACCCUGAUCUAGCAACGCCGCGUGAGUGAUGAAGGUCUUCGGAUUGUAAAGCUCUGUUAAUCGGGACGAAAGAGCCUAGUGUGAAUAAUGCUAGGAAGUGACGGUACCGGAAUAGAAAGCCACGGCUAACUACGUGCCAGCAGCCGCGGUAAUACGUAGGUGGCUAGCGUUGUUCGGAAUUACUGGGCGUAAAGCGCGCGUAGGCGGACCAGAAAGUUGGAGGUGAAAUCCCAGGGCUCAACCUUGGAACUGCCUUCAAAACUCCUGGUCUGGAGUUCGAGAGAGGUGAGUGGAAUUCCGAGUGUAGAGGUGAAAUUCGUAGAUAUUCGGAGGAACACCAGUGGCGAAGGCGGCUCACUGGCUCGAUACUGACGCUGAGGUGCGAAAGCGUGGGGAGCAAACAGGAUUAGAAACCCCUGUAGUCC
Molecule: ribosomal RNA, 451 nt
Filed under: uncultured bacterium
Lineage: Bacteria
Description: partial 16S ribosomal RNA
Rfam family: Bacterial small subunit ribosomal RNA
Source: RNAcentral